AUGACUUGUCUCCAUCAUAUUCUGAAGGCGGUUUUCAAAGGGGACGAGGUGAUGUGCCUCAAUGCCAAACCGAAAAGGGAAUGUGAAGCAGGACUAGAGGCAGUACGAGUCAUGGAAAUGAUGAUGAGGAUGACUACUAUGGCAAUGGGGGAUAUGAUAACCAUGGCGAGGGUGAUCUGUAUGGUGAUGAGCACUAUGAUCACUAUGGCGAUGGGGAAUAUGACGACUAUGGAGAUGAGGAUGGCUAUGGCUAUGGCUAUGGCAAUGGCGAUGAUGAUUGGCUAUAAAAAUCUAAUGAUCUUCAAGUCAUGCCAAAAUGAAGUUAUGUUAGAUAUUUGA
This 339-nucleotide ribosomal RNA is filed under the name Triticum aestivum (bread wheat). Its description in RNAcentral is "partial small subunit ribosomal RNA". Lineage: Eukaryota; Viridiplantae; Streptophyta; Magnoliopsida; Poales; Poaceae. The record is from RNAcentral.